CCUACGCGAGGCAGCAGUGAGGAAUAUUGGUCAAUGGGCGGGAGCCUGAACCAGCCAAGUCGCGUGAGGGAUGACUGCCCUAUGGGUUGUAAACCUCUUUUGCCGGGGAGCAAAGUGCCGCACGUGUGCCGUUUGGAGAGUACCCGGAGAAAAAGCAUCGGCUAACUCCGUGCCAGCAGCCGCGGUAAUACGGAGGAUUCAAGCGUUAUCCGGAUUUAUUGGGUUUAAAGGGUGCUUAGGCGGGCGGUUAAGUUAGUGGUGAAAUCCCGCGGCUCAACUUCGGAAUUGCCUUUGAUACUGUUCGGCGAGAGAGUAGUUGCGGUAGGCGGAAUGUAUGGUGUAGCGGUGAAAUGCUUAGAGAUCAUACAGAACACCGAUUGCGAAGGCAGCUUACCAAGCUACUUCUGACGUUGAGGCACGAAAGCGUGGGUAGCAAACAGGAUUAGAUACCCCUGUAGUC
RNAcentral lists this ribosomal RNA (460 nucleotides) under uncultured bacterium. Its description in RNAcentral is "partial 16S ribosomal RNA". It matches the Rfam family "Bacterial small subunit ribosomal RNA", at positions 338 to 795 of the family's 1533-position model. The record is from RNAcentral.